ACCAGCAGCCACAUCACCCUGCAACUCAACUGGCAGCCCACUGAAGCCAAGUAGGGUUGAGCUUGGCCAGUACCUGGAUGGGAGAGCUCCUGGGGAGGAACUAAGGUUGCUGCUGGAA
Molecule: ribosomal RNA, 118 nt
Filed under: Lepisosteus oculatus (spotted gar)
Lineage: Eukaryota; Metazoa; Chordata; Actinopteri; Semionotiformes; Lepisosteidae
Source: RNAcentral